RNAcentral lists this ribosomal RNA (496 nucleotides) under uncultured bacterium. RNAcentral's name for it is "partial 16S ribosomal RNA". It matches the Rfam family "Bacterial small subunit ribosomal RNA", at positions 29 to 507 of the family's 1533-position model. The record is from RNAcentral.
AUGCACGCUGGCGGCGUGCCUCAUCCCUGCCAGUCGAGCGAACAGACGAGGAGCUUGCUCCUCUGACGUUAGCGGCGGACGGGUGAGUAACACGUGGAUAACCUACCUAUAAGACUGGGAUAACUUCGGGAAACCGGAGCUAAUACCGGAUAAUAUAUUGAACCGCAUGGUUCAAUAGUGAAAGACGGUUUUGCUGUCACUUAUAGAUGGAUCCGCGCCGCAUUAGCUAGUUGGUAAGGUAACGGCUUACCAAGGCGACGAUGCGUAGCCGACCUGAGAGGGUGAUCGGCCACACUGGAACUGAGACACGGUCCAGACUCCUACGGGAGGCAGCAGUAGGGAAUCUUCCGCAAUGGGCGAAAGCUUGACGGAGCAACGCCGCGUGAGUGAUGAAGGUCUUCGGAUCGUAAAACUCUGUUAUUAGGGAAGAACAAAUGUGUAAGUAACUAUGCACGUCUUGACGGUACCUAAUCAGAAAGCCACGGCUAACUACGUG